GACGAACGCUGGCGGCGUGCUUAACACAUGCAAGUCGAACGGAAAGGCCCUGCUUUUGUGGGGUGCUCGAGUGGCGAACGGGUGAGUAACACGUGAGUAACCUGCCCUUGACUUUGGGAUAACUUCAGGCAACUGGGGCUAAUACCGGCUAGGAGCUCCUGCUGCAUGGUGGGGGUUGGAAAGUUUCGGCGGUUGGGGAUGGACUCGCGGCUUAUCAGCUUGUUGGUGGGGUAGUGUCUUACCAAGGCUUUGACGGGUAGCCGGCCUGAGAGGGUGACCGGCCACAUUGGGACUGAGAUACGGCCCAGACUCCUACGGGAGGCAGCAGUGGGGAAUAUUGCACUAUGGGCUGAAGCCUGAUGCAGCAACGCCGCGUGCGGGAUGACGGCCUUCGGGUUGUAAACCGCUUUCGCCUGUGACGAAGCGUGAGUGACGGUAAUGGGUAAAGAAGCACCGGCUAACUACGUG
RNAcentral lists this ribosomal RNA (468 nucleotides) under uncultured bacterium. Its description in RNAcentral is "partial 16S ribosomal RNA". It matches the Rfam family "Bacterial small subunit ribosomal RNA", at positions 28 to 507 of the family's 1533-position model. The record is from RNAcentral.